CCCUUAGAUGUUCUGGGCCGCACGCGCGCUACACUGAUGCAUUCAACGAGUCUAAAACCUGGUCUGAGAGGGCCGGGUAAUCUUUUGAAAGUGCAUCGUGAUUGGGAUAGAUGAUUGCAAUUCUUCAUCUUCAACGAGGAAUGCCUAGUAAACGCAAGUCAUCAGCUUGCAUUGAUUACGUCCCUGCCCUUUGUACACACCGCCCGUCGCUCCUACCGAUUGAACGAUCCGAUGAAAACUGUGGAUUGAGAGUCUGAGUGGGUUCGCCUACCUCAACUUUCGAGAAGCGGUUUAAAUCUUAUCGUUUAGAGGAAGGAGAAGUCGUAACA
Molecule: ribosomal RNA, 329 nt
Filed under: uncultured eukaryote
Lineage: Eukaryota
Description: partial 18S ribosomal RNA
Rfam family: Eukaryotic small subunit ribosomal RNA
Source: RNAcentral